CCUACGGGAGGCUGCAGUGAGGAAUAUUGGUCAAUGGACGAGAGUCUGAACCAGCCAAGUAGCGUGAAGGAUGACUGCCCUAUGGGUUGUAAACUUCUUUUAUAUGGGAAUAAAAUGUUCCACGUGUGGGAUUUUGUAUGUACCAUAUGAAUAAGGAUCGGCUAACUCCGGACCAGCAGCCGCGGUAAUACGGAGGAUCCGAGCGUUAUCCGGGUUUAUUGGGUUUAAAGGGAGCGUAGGUGGAUUGUUAAGUCAGUUGUGAAAGUUUGCGGCUCAACCGUAAAAUUGCAGUUGAAACUGGCAGUCUUGAGUACAGUAGAGGUGGGCGGAAGUCGUGGUGUAGCGGUGAAAUGCUUAGAUAUCACGAAGAACUCCGAUUGCGAAGGCAGUUCACUGGACUGCAACUGACACUGAGGCUCGAAAGUGUGGGUAUCAAACAGGAUUAGAUACCCGGGUAGUC
RNAcentral lists this ribosomal RNA (460 nucleotides) under uncultured bacterium. RNAcentral describes it as "partial 16S ribosomal RNA". It matches the Rfam family "Bacterial small subunit ribosomal RNA", at positions 338 to 795 of the family's 1533-position model. The record is from RNAcentral.